Molecule: ribosomal RNA, 253 nt
Filed under: uncultured bacterium
Lineage: Bacteria
Description: partial 16S ribosomal RNA
Rfam family: Bacterial small subunit ribosomal RNA
Source: RNAcentral
UACAGAGGUCGCAAGCGUUGUUCGGAUUUACUGGGCGUAAAGGGCGCGUAGGCGGUCCCAUGUGUCGGAUGUGAAAUCUCCGGGCUCAACCCGGCAAGUGCGUCCGAAACUGUGGGACUCGAGUCUGGGAGAGGGAAUCGGAAUAUAGGGUGUAGCGGUGAAAUGCGUUGAUAUCCUAUAGAACACCGGAGGCGAAGGCGGAUUCCUUGAACAGCACUGACGCUGAGGCGCGAAAGUCGGGGGAGCAAACAGG